RNAcentral lists this ribosomal RNA (401 nucleotides) under uncultured bacterium. Its description in RNAcentral is "bacterial SSU rRNA". It matches the Rfam family "Bacterial small subunit ribosomal RNA", at positions 356 to 774 of the family's 1533-position model. The record is from RNAcentral.
CGGGAAUUUUGGGCAAUGGGCGAAAGCCUGACCCAGCAACGCCGCGUGAGGGAUGAAGUAUUUCGGUAUGUAAACCUCGAAAGAAUGGGAAGAAUAAAUGACGGUACCAUUUAUAAGCUCCGGCUAACUACGUGCCAGCAGCCGCGGUAAUACGUAGGGAGCAAGCGUUGUUCGGAUUUACUGGGCGUAAAGGGCGCGUAGGCGGCGCGGUAAGUCACUUGUGAAAUCUCUGAGCUUAACUCAGAACGGCCAAGUGAUACUGCUGUGCUAGAGUGCGGAAGAGGCAACCGGAAUUCUUGGUGUAGCGGUGAAAUGCGUAGAUAUCAAGAGGAACACCUGAGGCGAAGGCGGGUUGCUGGGCCUACACUGACGCUGAUGCGCGAAAGCCAGGGGAGCAAACG